UACAGAGGUCUCAAGCGUUGUUCGGAUUCAUUGGGCGUAAAGGGUGCGUAGGCGGCGUCGUAAGUCGGGUGUGAAAUCUCGGGGCUCAACUCCGAAAUUGCAUUCGAUACUGCGGUGCUUGAGGACUGGAGAGGAGACUGGAAUUCACGGUGUAGCAGUGAAAUGCGUAGAUAUCGUGAGGAAGACCGGUGGCGAAGGCGGGUCUCUGGACAGUUCCUGACGCUGAGGCACGAAGGCCAGGGGAGCAAACGGG
This 253-nucleotide ribosomal RNA is filed under the name uncultured bacterium. RNAcentral describes it as "partial 16S ribosomal RNA". It matches the Rfam family "Bacterial small subunit ribosomal RNA", at positions 524 to 776 of the family's 1533-position model. The record is from RNAcentral.